UACGUAGGGGGCAAGCGUUGUCCGGAAUCAUUGGGCGUAAAGCGCACGUAGGCGGCUUCUUAAGUCGGUGGUGAAAUCCUGGAGCUCAACUCCAGAACUGCCUUCGAUACUGGGAGCUCGAGUCCGGGAGAGGUGAGUGGAACUGCGAGUGUAGAGGUGAAAUUCGUAGAUAUUCGCAAGAACACCAGUGGCGAAGGCGGCUCACUGGCCCGGUACUGACGCUGAGGUGCGAAAGCGUGGGGAGCAAACAG
Molecule: ribosomal RNA, 251 nt
Filed under: uncultured bacterium
Lineage: Bacteria
Description: partial 16S ribosomal RNA
Rfam family: Bacterial small subunit ribosomal RNA
Source: RNAcentral